RNAcentral lists this ribosomal RNA (492 nucleotides) under uncultured bacterium. RNAcentral's name for it is "partial 16S ribosomal RNA". It matches the Rfam family "Bacterial small subunit ribosomal RNA", at positions 28 to 507 of the family's 1533-position model. The record is from RNAcentral.
GAUGAACGCUAGCUACAGGCUUAACACAUGCAAGUCGAGGGGAAACGACAUCGAAAGCUUGCUUUUGAUGGGCGUCGACCGGCGCACGGGUGAGUAACGCGUAUCCAACCUGCCCAUCACUUGGGGAUAACCUUGCGAAAGUAAGACUAAUACCCAAUGAUAUCUCUAGAAGACAUCUGAAAGAGAUUAAAGAUUUAUCGGUGAUGGAUGGGGAUGCGUCUGAUUAGCUUGUUGGCGGGGUAACGGCCCACCAAGGCAACGAUCAGUAGGGGUUCUGAGAGGAAGGUCCCCCACAUUGGAGCUGGGACACGGCCCAAACUCCUACGGGAGGCAGCAGUGAGGAAUAUUGGUCAAUGGGCGAGAGCCUGAACCAGCCAAGUAGCGUGCAGGAAGACGGCCCUAUGGGUUGUAAACUGCUUUUAUAAGGGAAUAAAGUGAGAGUCGUGACUCUUUUUGUAUGUACCUUAUGAAUAAGGACCGGCUAAUUCCGUG